GACGAAGCUUACUAGCUAGUCGAGGGGCAGCACGAUGUAGCAUACAUUGGGUGGCGACCGGCGCACGGGUGAGUAACGCCUAUGCAACCUACCUAUCAGAGGGGAAUAACCCGGCGAAAGUCCGACUAAUACCGCAUAAAACAGGGGUUCCACAUGGAAAUAUUUGUUAAAGAAUUAUCGCUGAGAGAUGGGCAUGCUUUCCAUUAGAUAGUUGGUGAGGUAACGGCUCACCAAGUCUACGAUGGAUAGGGGUUCUGAGAGGAAGGUCCCCCACACUGGUACUGAGACACGGACCAGACUCCUACGGGAGGCAGCAGUGAGGAAUAUUGGUCAAUGGGCGAGAGCCUGAACCAGCCAAGUCGCGUGAAGGAUGAAGGAUCUAUGGUUUGUAAACUUCUUUUAUAUGGGAAUAAAGUGAGGAACGUGUUCCUUUUUGUAUGUACCAUAUGAAUAAGCAUCGGCUAACUCCGUGCCAGCAGCCGCGGUAAUACGGAGGAUGCGAGCGUUAUCCGGAUUUAUUGGGUUUAAAGGGUGCGUAGGUGGUUAAUUAAGUCAGCGGUGAAAGUUUGUGGCUCAACCAUAAAAUUGCCGUUGAAACUGGUUGACUUGAGUAUAUUUGAAGUAGGCGGAAUGCAUGGUGUAGCGGCGAAAUGCAUAGAUAUCACGCAGAACCCCGAUUGCGAACGCAGCUUACUCACCUAUCUCUGACACUGAACCACAAAAGCGUGGGGAUCACACCACGAAUAUAUA
Molecule: ribosomal RNA, 750 nt
Filed under: uncultured bacterium
Lineage: Bacteria
Description: bacterial SSU rRNA
Rfam family: Bacterial small subunit ribosomal RNA
Source: RNAcentral